RNAcentral lists this transfer RNA (74 nucleotides) under Candidatus Omnitrophota bacterium. RNAcentral's name for it is "Candidatus Omnitrophica bacterium (sediment metagenome) tRNA-Gln". It matches the Rfam family "tRNA". Rfam says of the family: Transfer RNA (tRNA) molecules are approximately 80 nucleotides in length. Their secondary structure includes four short double-helical elements and three loops (D, anti-codon, and T loops). Lineage: Bacteria; Pseudomonadati; Candidatus Omnitrophota. The record is from RNAcentral.
UGGGAUGUGGUGUAACGGUAACAUAACUGACUCUGGAUCAGUUGUUCAUGGUUCAAAUCCAUGCAUCCCAGCCA